CACAUCUGCUCGCCAUGGUUCUACUACGCUUGUUAUUCUCCACAGACAACUCAUUAUUUCUGUUCGCAGCGAAUUAAGGAGAUCGGAUGUAAUGAUCCGUGUAAUUGGAAAGUGGCAACAAGCAGCAAUGAAACGUGUCAACAUUGUCACGAUAUUGAAGCUUGUUACAAUGGCAGGAGAUCUUGUCCGUCGUGGAACGAAGCUAAGUGUCCAUACGGUAGAGUGACUCCAGACUACGGACUGGAUGGAAACGAGCCAAAAGUAGCGAGUCACUUGUCUC
Corticium candelabrum is the source of this 280-nucleotide long non-coding RNA. RefSeq lists it as uncharacterized. The record is from RefSeq and is a predicted model, not a curated record. The transcript has 3 exons. NCBI's taxonomy places the organism in Eukaryota, Metazoa, Porifera, Homoscleromorpha, Homosclerophorida, Plakinidae.